This is a small nucleolar RNA of Malania oleifera, 98 nucleotides long. RefSeq annotates it as small nucleolar RNA snoR109. NCBI's taxonomy places the organism in Eukaryota, Viridiplantae, Streptophyta, Magnoliopsida, Santalales, Ximeniaceae. The record is from RefSeq and is a predicted model, not a curated record. The transcript has a single exon.
CGACUGUAACUAAAUAAAUGUUGAGAAGUUAAUAGGUUGAUUGUCAUGAGAUCUUGCAAUCUCCGUUGGCAAAUCUGCAUCCCGGGCUUCUCACACUU